CCGCACAAGCGGCGGAGCAUGCGGAUUAAUUCGAUGCAACGCGAAGAACCUUACCAAGGCUUGACAUACACCGGUAACGCCCAGAGAUGGGUGCCCCCUUUGUGGUCGGUGGACAGGUGGUGCAUGGUUGUCGUCAGCUCGUGUCGUGAGAUGUUGGGUUAAGUCCCGCAACGAGCGCAACCCUUAUCCUUAGUUGUUUCCACGAAAGUGGUUACCCUCUAAGGAGACUGCCUCGGACAACGGGGAGGAAGGUGGGGAUGACGUCAAGUCCGCAUGCUCCUUACGUCUAGGGCUACACACGUCCUACAAUGGGGUUGACAAUGGGAUGCAGUACCGCAAGGUGGAGCGAAUCCCCAAACGACCCCUCAGUUCGGAUUGCAGUCUGCAACUCGACUGCAUGAAGUCGGAAUCGCUAGUAAUGGCAGGUCAGCAUACUGCCGUGAAUACGUUCCCGGGCCUU
This 460-nucleotide ribosomal RNA is filed under the name uncultured bacterium. Its description in RNAcentral is "bacterial SSU rRNA". It matches the Rfam family "Bacterial small subunit ribosomal RNA", at positions 921 to 1382 of the family's 1533-position model. The record is from RNAcentral.